Molecule: unclassified non-coding RNA, 148 nt
Organism: Macaca fascicularis (crab-eating macaque)
Lineage: Eukaryota; Metazoa; Chordata; Mammalia; Primates; Cercopithecidae
Rfam family: Metazoan signal recognition particle RNA
About the family: The signal recognition particle (SRP) is a universally conserved ribonucleoprotein. It is involved in the co-translational targeting of proteins to membranes.
Source: Ensembl
GCUGGGCAUGGUGGCGCGUGCCUGUAAUCCCAGAUACUCAGGAGGCUGAGGCAGGAGAAUCACUUGAACCCAGGAGGCAGUGGUUGCAGUGAGCCAAGAUCACACCACUGCACUCCAGCCUGGGCAACAGAGUGAGACUCUGCCUCAA